GUGUCAGCCGCCGCGGUAAUACGUAGGGUGCAAGCGUUAAUCGGAAUUACUGGGCGUAAAGCGUGCGCAGGCGGUUAUGUAGGACAGAGGUGAAAUCCCCGGGCUCAACCUGGGAACUGCCUUUGUGACUGCAUAGCUAGAGUACGGUAGAGGGGGAUGGAAUUCCGCGUGUAGCAGUGAAAUGCGUAGAUAUGCGGAGGAACACCGAUGGCGAAGGCAAUCCCCUGGACCUGUACUGACGCUCAUGCACGAAAGCGUGGGGAGCAAACAGGAUUAGAUACCCGCGUAGUCC
Molecule: ribosomal RNA, 292 nt
Filed under: uncultured Comamonadaceae bacterium
Lineage: Bacteria; Pseudomonadati; Pseudomonadota; Betaproteobacteria; Burkholderiales; Comamonadaceae
Description: partial 16S ribosomal RNA
Rfam family: Bacterial small subunit ribosomal RNA
Source: RNAcentral